ACCGGAUAGGACGAAAGUUUAAAGGUGCUUCUGGCACCGCUGAUGGAUGAGCCUGCGGCGCAUUAGCUAGUUGGUAGGGUAAAGGCCUACCAAGGCGACGAUGCGUAGCCGACCUGAGAGGGUGAACGGCCACACUGGGACUGAGACACGGCCCAGACUCCUACGGGAGGCAGCAGUAGGGAAUCUUCGGCAAUGGGCGAAAGCCUGACCGAGCAACGCCGCGUGAAUGAUGAAGGCCUUCGGGUUGUAAAAUUCUGUUAUAAGGGAAGAACGACUUUAGUAGGAAAUGGCUAGAGUGUGACGGUACCUUAUGAGAAAGCCACGGCUAACUACGUGCCAGCAGCCGCGGUAAUACGUAGGUGGCGAGCGUUAUCCGGAAUUAUUGGGCGUAAAGAGCGCGCAGGUGGUUGAUUAAGUCUGAUGUGAAAGCCCACGGCUUAACCGUGGAGGGUCAUUGGAAACUGGUCGACUUGAGUGCAGAAGAGGGAAGUGGAAUUCCACGUGUAGCGGUGAAAUGCGUAGAGAUAUGGAGGAACACCAGUGGCGAAGGCGGCUUCCUGGUCUGUAACUGACACUGAGGCGCGAAAGCGUGGGGAGCAAACAGG
RNAcentral lists this ribosomal RNA (605 nucleotides) under uncultured Bacillota bacterium. RNAcentral describes it as "bacterial SSU rRNA". It matches the Rfam family "Bacterial small subunit ribosomal RNA", at positions 168 to 776 of the family's 1533-position model. Lineage: Bacteria; Bacillati; Bacillota. The record is from RNAcentral.